Oreochromis aureus is the source of this 234-nucleotide long non-coding RNA. RefSeq lists it as uncharacterized. NCBI's taxonomy places the organism in Eukaryota, Metazoa, Chordata, Actinopteri, Cichliformes, Cichlidae. The record is from RefSeq and is a predicted model, not a curated record. The transcript is spliced from 3 exons.
GUCUGUCAGGCUGUCUGAUCACAGAGGAAGGCUGUACUUCUCUGGCCUCAGCUCUGAGCUCCAACCCCUCCCAUCUGAGAGAGCUGGACCUGAGCUACAAUCAUCCAGGAGACUCAGGAAUAAAGCUGCUGUUGGCUGGACUGAAGGAACCAGGCUGGAGGCUGGACACUCUCAGGGUGGAGCCUGCUGGAGUCCGAUGGUUGAGACCAGGUCUGAGGAAGUAUUCCUGUCAAC